UAAAUACUCCCUCCGUCUGGAAAUACUUGUCAUCAAAAUGGAUAAAAGGAAAUGUAUCUAUAUGUGUUUUAGUUUUAGAUACAUAUCUUUUUAUCAAUUUUGAUGACAAGUAUUUUCGGACAGAGGGAGUAUUUA
This is a non-coding RNA of Triticum aestivum (bread wheat), 135 nucleotides long. Lineage: Eukaryota; Viridiplantae; Streptophyta; Magnoliopsida; Poales; Poaceae. The record is from Rfam.